This 252-nucleotide ribosomal RNA is filed under the name uncultured bacterium. RNAcentral describes it as "partial 16S ribosomal RNA". It matches the Rfam family "Bacterial small subunit ribosomal RNA", at positions 524 to 776 of the family's 1533-position model. The record is from RNAcentral.
UACAUGGGGUGCAAACGUUGCUCGGAAUCAUUGGGCGUAAAGCGCGCGUAGGCGGUUACUUAAGUCGGAUGUGAAAGCCCUCGGCUUAACCGAGGAAGUGCAUCCGAAACUGAGUAGCUAGAGUACGAAAGAGGGUCGCGGAAUUCCCGGUGUAGAGGUGAAAUUCGUAGAUAUCGGGAGGAACACCGGUGGCGAAGGCGGCGACCUGGGUCGAGACUGACGCUGAGGCGCGAAGCGUGGGGAGCAAACAGG